AUUUAAUACACUUUAUUGACUGUAUUCUUAGUUUUACAUUCUGCAGUUGAAGAUACUUACAUUUUGCCAUGCUGACUAAUGCUUUGUGCUGCAGGAUAUUGGAGCCUAGUGCACCAUGCAAUUAGAAUGCCAGUGCAAUGGUAGCUUAUGCAAUUUAGAUGUGAAAUUUUAUAUGUAAUAACAAAACAUUGCACACUAAUUAUGUUCCACUUCAAAAUUCAUCACUAUUGGAAGCAUUCUUCUAUGAAACAAGAUAAAAAUAAAACAAGAAGAAGGAAGAACACAAAAAAGUGCUAUGCCAGUAGUAUUAUGUUGUUGAGUAGCAGUAUCUGUGAAUGAGAAUGUAAAAAUAUGAUCUCCUUUUGGAAUAAUUAAGCCAUAUCCAUUUAACAUCCACACAUGACACAGCCACAGAGAAAUUCUAUGCAUAUCCUCUGUUUACCAAGUACUAUUUUUCACAAAUUGUCAGCUGAGGGAAAUAAAUAGAGUUCUGACCAUGUUCACCUCUUUCAGGUUCAGAUAUGUCCUCCUGCAUUCAUAUUUCUACUGACUUGAGGAAACUUUCAUGAAUCCAACAAAUGAAGGAAAGCAAUUACCAGAUCUAACAGUCCAUUCUUGGAGUGCUACCAUUUUUUACUGAUCAACAAUUGAAAAAACUGAAGGCUUAACUAAAGGUUUGCCAGCAACGAUAUUCAGGAAAACUAAAUGGAACAGCUAACAAUCCAUAAUUCACAGGGUCUUCCCCCCACGUGUGCUUCUGGG
This is a long non-coding RNA of Gallus gallus (chicken), 762 nucleotides long. Lineage: Eukaryota; Metazoa; Chordata; Aves; Galliformes; Phasianidae. The record is from Ensembl.